This 1124-nucleotide long non-coding RNA is filed under the name Salmo salar (Atlantic salmon). Its description in RNAcentral is "lncRNA (ENSSSAG00000089124.1)". The record is from RNAcentral. Lineage: Eukaryota; Metazoa; Chordata; Actinopteri; Salmoniformes; Salmonidae.
CUCAUCAAAGAUAGGUGUGCCAAGCUUGUAGCCUCAUGCCCAAGAAGACUCAAGGCUAUAAUCGCUGCCAAAGGUGCUUCAACAAAGUACUGAGUAAAGGGUCUGAAUACUUAAGUAAAUGUGAUAUUUCCGGGGGUGGUUGUAUACAUUUGCAAUACUUUCAAAAAAACUGUUUUUGCUUUGUCAUUAUGGGCUAUUAUGUGGAUUGAUGAGGGGAAAAGAAAUGUUUUAUACAUUUUAAAAUAAGGCUGUAAUGUAACAAAAUGUGGAAAAAGUCAAGGAGUCUGAAUACUUUCCGAAUGCACUGUAGCGGUACUGUAGCUAGUAGGCUGGACUGCAUAUUGUCUGCAUAAUUAAACAAUCCCUACUAAUCUAUUGUUUUGACUGUGGAAUGAUUUUAUUAUUUGUCACAGACUUUCUAACCAAGCUGGAGAGCACAAGGACGGCUAAGGACAAUGACUCAACACACCUGCAGACUGUGUAAGGGCUAUUUGACUUAGGAGAGUGAUGGAGUGCUGCAUGAGAUGACCUGGCCUUCACAAUCACCCGACCUCAAUCCAAUUGAGAUGGUUUGGGAUGAGUUGGACCGCAGAGUGAAGGAAAAGCAGCCAACAAGUGCUCUACAUACGUGGGAACUUCUUCAAGACUGUUGGAAAAUAUUGUGGGAGGUGAAAGAAUCGCUGGCUCAUUAACAUAUUUGAAGGUGUGCGUUGCAAUGUUCCAUCAAAAACAAUUAGGCACUGAGCACAGUUUUCAGGUCUGCUGAGCGCAAGCUUGAACUUUGUUUAAAUUCUAUGUCAAAUCAAAUCAAAUGUAUUUAUAUAGCCCUUCUUACAUCAGCUGAUAUCUCAAAGUGCUGUACAGAAACCCAGCCUAAAACCCCAAACAGCAAGCAAUGCAGGUGUAGAAGCACGGUGGCUAGGAAAAACUCCCUAGAAAGGCCAAAACCUAGGAAGAAACCUAGAGAGGAACCAGGCUAUGAGGGGUGGCCAGUCCUCUUCUGGCUGUGCCGGGUGGAGAUUAUAACAGCACAUGGCCAAGAUGUUCAAAUGUUCAUAAAUGACCAGCAUGGUCAAAUAAUAAUAAUCAUAGUAGUUGUCGAGGGUGCAACAAGUCAGUAACAC